This is a long non-coding RNA of Chenopodium quinoa (quinoa), 882 nucleotides long. RefSeq lists it as uncharacterized. NCBI's taxonomy places the organism in Eukaryota, Viridiplantae, Streptophyta, Magnoliopsida, Caryophyllales, Amaranthaceae. The transcript is spliced from 4 exons. The record is from RefSeq and is a predicted model, not a curated record.
ACCAACUUAUCUGUAACUGACUUAAAGCGUCCGUUACGAUUAAAUGUUCAAAAUUAACCCUAAAAAUUUUGCAAUCCCCUUUUUUCAUUUUCCCUCACUCAUACUGUACUUGCUAUACUAGCUCGAUCUGUUCCCCAUUGAAGACGCAAUCUCAUCUUCUCCGUCGCCGGUCCUCUGUUUCUCCGUCACCGGGCCUCACGCCCAGCCUUUUCAAAAUAGUCAUUCCCUCCAACAUUCUCUCUCUCCUCGAUAGAUAUUCCCAAAUUCUUAGUUGUUAAAUUGAUGUUCUUAAUUUGAGCUUCAUUUCUGGGAAUUUUCCACUUGUUGAAAAAAUUAUUGGGUUUUUAGUUUGAUAAUCAACACUCAAUUGGGUUCUCAAUGUCUUGAGAAUUUGCAAUAUACGCAACAAUUUUGUAGGGAUUUCCGAAAAUUUUCAAGAAAGACUAGAAACGGUGGUGUUUGCGGCUAAUUAGUGUAUCACGGUGGUCGCUUAGGCAAUCUUGAGUGAAAAGCUUAAAAAUCGGUCUCUUUAUUGGAUUUUGGCCUGUCAAACUCGUAAUGCAGAUGGAUCGUGGGCUAUAGACCCGAAGAAUGCCAAAACCCAGCAAAUAGCCAAUGCUAUUGAUUUUUGUCCAAGGAUAGCCCCGUAUUAUGUUGACGAAUUGAAUGUGGUUCGAGAACAGUGGGCGCAAUACUUUAGAAGUAAAUAUUUAUUGUAUGCAUAACUAUUAGCUUAGGUAGAACAAAGUUAUAUUUUUAGUGUUGUUGUAUAUGUUGGAUAAAGUUAUACAAGUUUUUAUUUGUAAUGUGUUACUACUUCAAUUUUUAUAUUACGUCGUAUUAAUUCGAAAUCGGUAUAAUUGCUUAUUUACAGGAACAGGU